Sapajus apella (tufted capuchin) is the source of this 735-nucleotide long non-coding RNA. RefSeq lists it as uncharacterized. The record is from RefSeq and is a predicted model, not a curated record. The transcript has 3 exons. NCBI's taxonomy places the organism in Eukaryota, Metazoa, Chordata, Mammalia, Primates, Cebidae.
UGUGUAUACUUGCCUGGAAGCCUAAUCACUAACCAGUAUAAAGGUUAAUGAAACAUAAUUUUAUUUUAUUAAUUGGUGACUUCUUACUAGCAAAUGUAAUGCUUGUUUAUACAGAAAGGCUUGAAAAGUGAUAGUCAUAAUAGUUUUUAUUAAACUUAUCUUUGGUCCUAUUUUCAAGAUAAAUUUACACAGAAAACUCUUGUAGUAGUAGUAGUAUUAUAGUAGAAAACCAUUAGUGGUUCUGGAUUAGACAUAGUGCUUUACAAUUUGAGUUUGUAAUAUUAAAUUCCACUCCAGGAAUAUUUAUACAGGUGCUUUUUUUUUUUUUUUUUUUCCUUGCAGGUGAUGUUUUCAGUGGUAUUUUAGAAAUCACUUUACAGGAAUUGCCAGUUUUGGUACAAUUAAAAAGAUAGAAUUGUCUUAUGACAUGUAUUAAAAUAAUUAAAACUCUUUUUGCUUUAAGGAAAUUAACAGUAGAGGAAAAUUACCGGUUAGAGAAAGAAGAAAAACUUUCUAAAGUAGACGAAAAGAUCAGCCAUGCCACUGAAGAGCUGGAGACCUAUAGAAAGCGAGCCAAAGAUCUUGAAGAAGAAUUGGAGAGAACUAUUCAUUCUUAUCAAGGGCAGAUUAUUUCCCAUGAGAAAAAAGCACAUGAUAAUUGGGUAAGUUUUAAAUUUCCUUGUCUCUUUUGUUAAAUUGUACUUUUUUUUUUACAUAAGAUAUGCUGCUCAUUUA